UAGGGAAUCUUCCACAAUGGGCGCAGCCUGAUGGAGCAACGCCGCGUGAGUGAAGAAGGUUUUCGGAUCGUAAAGCUCUGUUGUAAGAGAAGAACGUGUGUGAGAGUGGAAAGUUCACACAGUGACGGUAACUUACCAGAAAGGGACGGCUAACUACAUGCCAG
This 164-nucleotide ribosomal RNA is filed under the name uncultured bacterium. Its description in RNAcentral is "partial 16S rRNA". It matches the Rfam family "Bacterial small subunit ribosomal RNA", at positions 355 to 511 of the family's 1533-position model. The record is from RNAcentral.